UAAGCGACUAAGCGUACACGGUGGAUGCCCUGGCAGUCAGAGGCGAUGAAGGACGUGCUAAUCUGCGAUAAGCGUCGGUAAGGUGAUAUGAACCGUUAUAACCGGCGAUUUCCGAAUGGGGAAACCCAGUGUGUUUCGACACACUAUCAUUAACUGAAUCCAUAGGUUAAUGAGGCGAACCGGGGGAACUGAAACAUCUAAGUACCCCGAGGAAAAGAAAUCAACCGAGAUUCCCCCAGUAGCGGCGAGCGAACGGGGAGGAGCCCAGAGCCUGAAUCAGUGUGUGUGUUAGUGGAAGCGUCUGGAAAGGCGCGCGAUACAGGGUGACAGCCCCGUACACAAAAAUGCACAUACUGUGAGCUCGAUGAGUAGGGCGGGACACGUGGUAUCCUGUCUGAAUAUGGGGGGACCAUCCUCCAAGGCUAAAUACUCCUGACUGACCGAUAGUGAACCAGUACCGUGAGGGAAAGGCGAAAAGAACCCCGGCGAGGGGAGUGAAAAGAACCUGAAACCGUGUACGUACAAGCAGUGGGAGCACAGAGCAAUCUGUGUGACUGCGUACCUUUUGUAUAAUGGGUCAGCGACUUAUAUUCUGUAGCAAGGUUAACCGAAUAGGGGAGCCGAAGGGAACCGAGUCUUAACCGGGCGUUAAGUUGCAGGGUAUAGACCCGAAACCCGGUGAUCUAGCCAUGGGCAGGUUGAAGGUUGGGUAACACUAACUGGAGGACCGAACCGACUAAUGUUGAAAAAUUAGCGGAUGACUUGUGGCAGGGGGUGAAAGGCCAAUCAAACCGGGAGAUAGCUGGUUCUCCCCGAAAGCUAUUUAGGUAGCGCCUCGUGAAUUCAUCUCCGGGGGUAGAGCACUGUUUCGGCAAGGGGGUCAUCCCGACUUACCAACCCGAUGCAAACUGCGAAUACCGGAGAAUGUUAUCACGGGAGACACACGGCGGGUGCUAACGUCCGUCGUGAAGAGGGAAACAACCCAGACCGCCAGCUAAGGUCCCAAAGUCAUGGUUAAGUGGGAAACGAUGUGGGAAGGCCCAGACAGCCAGGAUGUUGGCUUAGAAGCAGCCAUCAUUUAAAGAAAGCGUAAUAGCUCACUGGUCGAGUCGGCCUGCGCGGAAGAUGUAACGGGGCUAAACCAUGCACCGAAGCUGCGGCAGCGACACUGUGUGUUGUUGGGUAGGGGAGCGUUCUGUAAGCCUGUGAAGGUGUGCUGUGAGGCAUGCUGGAGGUAUCAGAAGUGCGAAUGCUGACAUAAGUAACGAUAAAGCGGGUGAAAAGCCCGCUCGCCGGAAGACCAAGGGUUCCUGUCCAACGUUAAUCGGGGCAGGGUGAGUCGACCCCUAAGGCGAGGCCGAAAGGCGUAGUCGAUGGGAAACAGGUUAAUAUUCCUGUACUUGGUGUUACUGCGAAGGGGGGACGGAGAAGGCUAUGUUGGCCGGGCGACGGUUGUCCCGGUUUAAGCGUGUAGGCUGGUUUUCCAGGCAAAUCCGGAAAAUCAAGGCUGAGGCGUGAUGACGAGGCACUACGGUGCUGAAGCAACAAAUGCCCUGCUUCCAGGAAAAGCCUCUAAGCAUCAGGUAACAUCAAAUCGUACCCCAAACCGACACAGGUGGUCAGGUAGAGAAUACCAAGGCGCUUGAGAGAACUCGGGUGAAGGAACUAGGCAAAAUGGUGCCGUAACUUCGGGAGAAGGCACGCUGAUAUGUAGGUGAAGUCCCUCGCGGAUGGAGCUGAAAUCAGUCGAAGAUACCAGCUGGCUGCAACUGUUUAUUAAAAACACAGCACUGUGCAAACACGAAAGUGGACGUAUACGGUGUGACGCCUGCCCGGUGCCGGAAGGUUAAUUGAUGGGGUCAGCGCAAGCGAAGCUCUUGAUCGAAGCCCCGGUAAACGGCGGCCGUAACUAUAACGGUCCUAAGGUAGCGAAAUUCCUUGUCGGGUAAGUUCCGACCUGCACGAAUGGCGUAAUGAUGGCCAGGCUGUCUCCACCCGAGACUCAGUGAAAUUGAACUCGCUGUGAAGAUGCAGUGUACCCGCGGCAAGACGGAAAGACCCCGUGAACCUUUACUAUAGCUUGACACUGAACAUUGAGCCUUGAUGUGUAGGAUAGGUGGGAGGCUUUGAAGUGUGGACGCCAGUCUGCAUGGAGCCGACCUUGAAAUACCACCCUUUAAUGUUUGAUGUUCUAACGUGGACCCGUGAUCCGGGUUGCGGACAGUGUCUGGUGGGUAGUUUGACUGGGGCGGUCUCCUCCUAAAGAGUAACGGAGGAGCACGAAGGUUGGCUAAUCCUGGUCGGACAUCAGGAGGUUAGUGCAAUGGCAUAAGCCAGCUUGACUGCGAGCGUGACGGCGCGAGCAGGUGCGAAAGCAGGUCAUAGUGAUCCGGUGGUUCUGAAUGGAAGGGCCAUCGCUCAACGGAUAAAAGGUACUCCGGGGAUAACAGGCUGAUACCGCCCAAGAGUUCAUAUCGACGGCGGUGUUUGGCACCUCGAUGUCGGCUCAUCACAUCCUGGGGCUGAAGUAGGUCCCAAGGGUAUGGCUGUUCGCCAUUUAAAGUGGUACGCGAGCUGGGUUUAGAACGUCGUGAGACAGUUCGGUCCCUAUCUGCCGUGGGCGCUGGAGAACUGAGGGGGGCUGCUCCUAGUACGAGAGGACCGGAGUGGACGCAUCACUGGUGUUCGGGUUGUCAUGCCAAUGGCACUGCCCGGUAGCUAAAUGCGGAAGAGAUAAGUGCUGAAAGCAUCUAAGCACGAAACUUGCCCCGAGAUGAGUUCUCCCUGACCCUUUAAGGGUCCUGAAGGAACGUUGAAGACGACGACGUUGAUAGGCCGGGUGUGUAAGCGCAGCGAUGCGUUGAGCUAACCGGUACUAAUGAACCGUGAGGCUUAACCU
RNAcentral lists this ribosomal RNA (2899 nucleotides) under Escherichia coli B7-2. RNAcentral's name for it is "bacterial LSU rRNA". It matches the Rfam family "Bacterial large subunit ribosomal RNA". The record is from RNAcentral. Lineage: Bacteria; Pseudomonadati; Pseudomonadota; Gammaproteobacteria; Enterobacterales; Enterobacteriaceae.